GGUAGUCCACGCCGUAAACGAUGAUAACUAGCUGCCGGGGCACAUGGUGUUUCGGUGGCGCAGCUAACGCAUUAAGUUAUCCGCCUGGGGAGUACGGUCGCAAGAUUAAAACUCAAAGGAAUUGACGGGGGCCUGCACAAGCGGUGGAGCAUGUGGUUUAAUUCGAAGCAACGCGCAGAACCUUACCAACGUUUGACAUCCUCAUCGCGAUUUCCAGAGAUGGAUUUCUUCAGUUCGGCUGGAUGAGUGACAGGUGCUGCAUGGCUGUCGUCAGCUCGUGUCGUGAGAUGCUGGGUUAAGUCCCGCAACGAGCGCAACCCUCGCCUUUAGUUGCCAGCAUUUAGUUGGGUACUCUAAAGGAACCGCCGGUGAUAAGCCGGAGGAAGGUGGGGAUGACGUCAAGUCCUCAUGGCCCUUACGCGUUGGGCUACACACGUGCUACAAUGGCGACUACAGUGGGCAGCGACCUCGCGAGGGGAAGCUAAUCUCCAAAAGUCGUCUCAGUUCGGAUCGUUCUCUGCAACUCGAGAGCGUGAAGGCGGAAUCGCUAGUAAUCGCGGAUCAGCAUGCCGCGGUGAAUACGUUCCCAGGCCUUGUACACACCGCCCGUCACACCAUGGGAGUUGGAUUCACUCGAAGGCGUUGAGCUAACCGCAAGGAGGCAGGCGACCACAGUGGGUUUAGCGACUGGGGUGAAGUCGUAACAAGGUAGCCGUAGGGGAACCUGC
Molecule: ribosomal RNA, 728 nt
Filed under: uncultured bacterium
Lineage: Bacteria
Description: bacterial SSU rRNA
Rfam family: Bacterial small subunit ribosomal RNA
Source: RNAcentral